CUUUUUACUUAAAAUAAAAAAGUAAAGUAGAAGUCAGAAGCAAAUGAAGACUUAUAAGUGACUAAACUGUUUGGAAAAGAAGCAGAAGUCGUGAAACAAAAGCUAGUAAUCCUAGCUUUUUUUAAGUACUUCUUGACUUUUUACACAAACGGUACAAAUAAGUGCUUCUAACUUAUAAACCAUAAGUUGGGCUUAUUAUGCGUCGCCAAACACCACCU
RNAcentral lists this long non-coding RNA (218 nucleotides) under Daucus carota (carrot). RNAcentral's name for it is "long non-coding RNA (DCAR_LNC003622)". The record is from RNAcentral. Lineage: Eukaryota; Viridiplantae; Streptophyta; Magnoliopsida; Apiales; Apiaceae.